UACCCAGCCACCACUUGAGCUGUAAGGUGU
RNAcentral lists this non-coding RNA (30 nucleotides) under Rattus norvegicus (Norway rat). The record is from RNAcentral. Lineage: Eukaryota; Metazoa; Chordata; Mammalia; Rodentia; Muridae.